Molecule: ribosomal RNA, 253 nt
Filed under: uncultured bacterium
Lineage: Bacteria
Description: partial 16S ribosomal RNA
Rfam family: Bacterial small subunit ribosomal RNA
Source: RNAcentral
UACGGGGGGGGCAAGCGUUGUUCGGAAUUACUGGGCGUAAAGGGCUUGUAGGCGGCCAACUAAGUCCGACGUGAAAUCCCCAGGCUUAACCUGGGAACUGCGUCGGAUACUGGAUGGCUUGAAUUCGGGAGAGGGAUGCAGAAUUCCAGGUGUAGCGGUGAAAUGCGUAGAUAUCUGGAGGAAUACCGGUGGCGAAGGCGGCAUCCUGGACCGGCAUUGACGCUGAGGAGCGAAAGCCAGGGGAGCAAACGGG